RNAcentral lists this ribosomal RNA (492 nucleotides) under uncultured bacterium. RNAcentral describes it as "partial 16S ribosomal RNA". It matches the Rfam family "Bacterial small subunit ribosomal RNA", at positions 29 to 507 of the family's 1533-position model. The record is from RNAcentral.
AGUGAACGCUGGCGGUGGGCCUAACACAUGCAAGUCGAACGGCAGCACAGUAAGAGCUUGCUCUUACGGGUGGCGAGUGGCGGACGGGUGAGGAAUACAUCGGAAUCUACUUUUUCGGGGGGGAUAACGUAGGGAAACUUACGCUAAUACCGCAUACGACCUACGGGUGAAAGCAGGGGAUCUUCGGACCUUGCGCGAUUGAAUGAGCCGAUGUCGGAUUAGCUAGUUGGCGGGGUAAAGGCCCACCAAGGCGACGAUCCGUAGCUGGUCUGAGAGGAUGAUCAGCCACAAUGGAACUGAGACAAGGUCCAGACUCCUACGGGAGGCAGCAGUGGGGAAUAUUGGACAAUGGGCGCAAGCCUGAUCCAGCCAUACCGCGUGGGUGAAGAAGGCCUUCGGGUUGUAAAGCCCUUUUGUUGGGAAAGAAAAGCAGCAGGUUAAUACCCCGCUGUUCUGACGGUACCCAAAGAAUAAGCACCGGCUAACUUCGUG